RNAcentral lists this ribosomal RNA (253 nucleotides) under uncultured bacterium. Its description in RNAcentral is "partial 16S ribosomal RNA". It matches the Rfam family "Bacterial small subunit ribosomal RNA", at positions 524 to 776 of the family's 1533-position model. The record is from RNAcentral.
UACGUAGGGGGCUAGCGUUGUCCGGAUUUAUUGGGCGUAAAGAGCGUGUAGGCGGCCAGGUAGGUCUGGUGUGAAAAUCCGGGGCUCAACCCCGGACUUGCAGUGGGUACGGGCAGACUAGAGUGUAGUAGGGGAGACUGGAAUUCCUGGUGUAGCGGUGAAAUGCGCAGAUAUCAGGAGGAACACCGAUGGCGAAGGCAGGUCUCUGGGCCACUACUGACGCUGAGAAGCGAAAGCAUGGGGAGCGAACAGG